This 288-nucleotide long non-coding RNA is filed under the name Cavia porcellus (domestic guinea pig). Its description in RNAcentral is "lncRNA (ENSCPOG00000036197.1)". Lineage: Eukaryota; Metazoa; Chordata; Mammalia; Rodentia; Caviidae. The record is from RNAcentral.
UGCAUGUGCAUGUAUAUAGUAGAGAGAUUUCAUAUUUACUCUUAAUUCAUGUUGCUUUCUUUUUCUUUUACUGUCUAUCUAAUCAAUUGUAAUUAUUGAGCUCAUACUGUGUUCUACAUGUGAUCAACAUAGAAAAAGGCCCUUCUGUUUGGAGAUCACAGUGACAAAGCCAAAGAGUAGCAAUUAAAAGCAAGUAUAAGCAACAGCAUUCGUUCUAUUUUUUAUCACCGCUCUUGAAGACACCAAGGAAGAAGAACUUCCAGACCAGCUUCAGAAAGUGACAAAAAU